RNAcentral lists this unclassified non-coding RNA (253 nucleotides) under uncultured Gammaproteobacteria bacterium. RNAcentral's name for it is "contains 16S-23S intergenic spacer region". It matches the Rfam family "Bacterial small subunit ribosomal RNA", at positions 524 to 776 of the family's 1533-position model. The record is from RNAcentral. Lineage: Bacteria; Pseudomonadati; Pseudomonadota; Gammaproteobacteria.
UACGGAGGGUGCAAGCGUUAAUCGGAAUUACUGGGCGUAAAGGGUACGUAGGCGGUUUCUUAAGUCGGAUGUGAAAGCCCCGGGCUUAACCUGGGAAUGGCAUUCGAUACUGGGGAACUUGAAUCUGACAGAGGCUGGUGGAAUUUCCGGUGUAGCGGUGAAAUGCGUAGAUAUCGGAAGGAACAUUAGUGGCGAAGGCGGCCAGCUGGGUCAAGAUUGACGCUGAGGUACGAAAGCGUGGGGAGCAAACAGG